AAUCGGGCGUGCAACACUUCUGCUAGAAAGAGCUACAGGAAAUGCGCUAUACGGAAGUCAAGUGAAUACAUAUGAACAGAAGGCUGAAAAACAGAACCCUAACCCUAA
Long non-coding RNA from Priapulus caudatus, 108 nucleotides. RefSeq lists it as uncharacterized. NCBI's taxonomy places the organism in Eukaryota, Metazoa, Priapulida, Priapulimorpha, Priapulimorphida, Priapulidae. The record is from RefSeq and is a predicted model, not a curated record. The transcript has 3 exons.